Molecule: non-coding RNA, 107 nt
Organism: Otolemur garnettii (small-eared galago)
Lineage: Eukaryota; Metazoa; Chordata; Mammalia; Primates; Galagidae
Source: Rfam
CAGUCCCGGCCAAAAACUGCAAAAAAAUAAAAAAAAGAAGAAGAAGAAGAUUAGCAUAGUCCCUAUGCAAGGAUGAUAUGCAAAUUUGUGAACUGUUCCAUACAUUU